This is a non-coding RNA of Desmophyllum pertusum, 77 nucleotides long. The record is from the annotation of a GenBank genome assembly. NCBI's taxonomy places the organism in Eukaryota, Metazoa, Cnidaria, Anthozoa, Scleractinia, Caryophylliidae.
GGCUUGAUAGCUCAGUUGGUAGAGCACUGCUCCGGUAUCGCAGAGGUCAUGGGUUUGACUGAAUCCCGUUCAAACCU